RNAcentral lists this ribosomal RNA (420 nucleotides) under bacterium. RNAcentral's name for it is "partial 16S ribosomal RNA". It matches the Rfam family "Bacterial small subunit ribosomal RNA", at positions 355 to 776 of the family's 1533-position model. The record is from RNAcentral.
UGGGGCAUAUUGCACAAUGGGCGAAAGCCUGAUGCAGCGACGCCGCGUGGGGGAUGAAGGCUUUCGGGUUGUAAACCUCUUUCGCUAUCGAACAAGGCCCGCUUAGGGUGGGUUGAGGGUAGGUGGAGAAGAAGCGCCGGCUAACUACGUGCCAGCAGCCGCGGUAAUACGUAUGGCGCGAGCGUUGUCCGGAAUUAUUGGGCGUAAAGGGCUUGUAGGCGGCUUGUUGCGCCUGCUGUGAAAACGCGGGGCUUAACUUCUCGCGUGCAGUGGGUACGGGCAGGCUUGAGUGUGGUAGGGGGGACUGGAAUUCCAGGUGUAGCGGUGGAAUGCGCCGAUAUCUGGAGGAACACCGAUGGCGAAGGCAGGUCACUGGGCCAUUACUGACGCUGAGGAGCGAAAGCAUGGGUAGCGAACAGG